CCUACGGGAGGCAGCAGUGAGGAAUAUCGGUCAAUGGACGCAAGUCUGAACCAGCCAUGCCGCGUGCAGGAAGACGGCUCUAUGAGUUGUAAACUGCUUUUGUACGAGGGUAAACGCAGAUACGCGUAUCUGUCUGCAAGUAUCGUACGAAUAAGGAUCGGCUAACUCCGUGCCAGCAGCCGCGGUAAUACGGAGGAUUCAAGCGUUAUCCGGAUUUAUUGGGUUUAAAGGGUGCGUAGGCGGUCGGAUAAGUUAGAGGUGAAAUCCCGAGGCUCAACUUCGGAAUUGCCUCUGAUACUGGUCGGCUAGAGAGUAGUUGCGGUAGGCGGAAUGUAUGGUGUAGCGGUGAAAUGCUUAGAGAUCAUACAGAACACCGAUUGCGAAGGCAGCUUACCAAGCUACUUCUGACGUUGAGGCACGAAAGCGUGGGGAGCAAACAGGAUUAGAUACCCGGGUAGUC
Molecule: ribosomal RNA, 460 nt
Filed under: uncultured bacterium
Lineage: Bacteria
Description: partial 16S ribosomal RNA
Rfam family: Bacterial small subunit ribosomal RNA
Source: RNAcentral